Molecule: ribosomal RNA, 303 nt
Filed under: uncultured bacterium
Lineage: Bacteria
Description: partial 16S ribosomal RNA
Rfam family: Bacterial small subunit ribosomal RNA
Source: RNAcentral
AGCAGUCGCCACGGGAAUACAGAGGUCUCAAGCGUUGUUCGGAUUCAUUGGGCGUAAAGGGAGCAUAGGCGGUCGGGUAAGUCGGAUGUGAAAUCCUGGGGCUCAACCUCAGAACUGCAUUCGAUACUGCUUGGCUAGAGGACUGGAGAGGUGAGUGGAAUUCACGGUGUAGCAGUGAAAUGCGUAGAUAUCGUGAGGAAGACCAGCGGCGAAGGCGGCUCACUGGACAGUUCCUGACGCUGAUGCUCGAAGGCCAGGGGAGCAAACGGGAUUAGAUACCCCUGUAGUCCCUGUCUCUUAUAC